This is a transfer RNA of 143 nucleotides. It matches the Rfam family "tRNA". Rfam says of the family: Transfer RNA (tRNA) molecules are approximately 80 nucleotides in length. Their secondary structure includes four short double-helical elements and three loops (D, anti-codon, and T loops).
GGCCAGUUGGUCUAAUGGUAUGACGUCCGCACCACAUGUUGUACGAUAGGUGUUCGGAUACGUGUGCGAGUACGUGUUCGAGUACGUGUUCGGUACGUGUGGGAGUAGCGCGGAAGACGGGGGUUCAAUCCCUCCACUGGCCA